UACGGAGGGUGCAAGCGUUAUUCGGAUUCACUGGGCUUAAAGGGCGCGUAGGCGGACAGGUAAGUCAGUGGUGAAAUCUCUGGGCUUAACCCAGAAACUGCCGUUGAUACUAUUUGUCUUGAAUAUCCUGGAGGUAGGCGGAAUAUGUCAUGUAGCGGUGAAAUGCUUAGAUAUGACAUAGAACACCGAUAGCGAAGGCAGCUUACUACAGGAUGAUUGACGCUGAGGCACGAAAGCGUGGGGAGCAAACAGG
This 253-nucleotide ribosomal RNA is filed under the name uncultured bacterium. Its description in RNAcentral is "partial 16S ribosomal RNA". It matches the Rfam family "Bacterial small subunit ribosomal RNA", at positions 524 to 776 of the family's 1533-position model. The record is from RNAcentral.